AUGGAGUUCCUGCUGCAACCAAUACGCGGAUCCACUUUCUUGGAAGAGGUUGGAAAAAGCUUGGUACCGCCGGCGCCGCCGGAGCUGGCCUCUGUGGCGGCGGGGCAGCAUGUUGUAGAUAUGGUGGUCGAGCUUCCAGUUGUGCGGCAGGAUACCUUGCCACCCGUGCAGCAGGCCGCCAGCGGCCAUGCGCAGAUUGUGGCAGGACCGGCGUCCGCCGAGGUUAGGUUGGAGAGCUCACCUCCGUCGUCAGAGUUGUCCACUGCGAAGAUGAAUCCGCGAGCCCCUGGGUGGAACAAGAGGUUGAGGAUUGGAGCUGCAGCACCGAGCAGGCAACCGUGUCCUAACCGCGUCAGUGCGUUCGAGAAGGCAGUACGGAGGUUUGCUGAGAAUCCAACGGAGAAUGUUAUCACGCCAGUUAUCGGCACAACGUUCGACUCGGUGGGUCAGGCAUACGACUUCUACAAUUUGUACUCCUGGGAGAAGGGAUUUGGCAUUCGUUAUGGCAAAAGCAGGUUAAAUGUGGAGAGGACCAAAUGCAUGCAGGAAAUAGUUUGUGGUUGCUCGGGAAAAGCUGGGGUUGAGAAGACGAGAUCUUGUCACUGUGAGUGUCCUGCUCUAAUUAGGCUGCUACGAGUGGAGCACAACGGAUGGUAUAUAGCGGAGCACAGGGAUACGCACAACCACUCGUUGUCGCCUAAUUUUGGUGAGACAAUCCACUGGCCAUCUCACAAGCAUAUAGAUGUGUACAUCAGAGAUCUUGUGAAGCAGUUGAGGCAGAACAAUGUGAACUUGGCGAAGGUGUACAGCAUCAUUGGAGGGUUUUUGGAUUGA
RNAcentral lists this ribosomal RNA (834 nucleotides) under Triticum aestivum (bread wheat). Its description in RNAcentral is "partial small subunit ribosomal RNA". Lineage: Eukaryota; Viridiplantae; Streptophyta; Magnoliopsida; Poales; Poaceae. The record is from RNAcentral.